Molecule: long non-coding RNA, 736 nt
Organism: Oryzias melastigma (Indian medaka)
Lineage: Eukaryota; Metazoa; Chordata; Actinopteri; Beloniformes; Adrianichthyidae
Exons: 2
Source: RefSeq, a predicted model, not a curated record
UGAGUUAAAGGGGGGACGCCCGCGCGCGGUAUGGAAAGGCACGUAUGAGAAACAUCCGCGAUUAAUGCGUCAAAAAAAUUCUCGGCGUCAAGCACAUGUCAGAUUAACGCGUUUUUAAUGCGACAAAUCCAACCCCCAACACUGGCAGACGGAACGUGAGGCCAACCCGGAAGUAACAAAACGUUGCAGUACCGGCACUGACCAGAGAGGCUGGUGCUUGGAGUGAGCAAAUUCCCAUAGACUCCCAUGUUAAAAUCCUCAUUUUCAGCCCUCUAAUAAACCCCUUUAAUGCCUGGUGCUUAAAGUUUUUAUUUCAUCAAUAGCUGCAUAUUUGAUCCACGACAACUCUGAGGGGAGUGAAUUUUUUCUAAGUUUGUAAUUUUUUUUUAAACGGCAUUUAUUUUCGCUUAAUGAGGAGGCGUGGCCUUUGAUUGACGGGUGACGAUCGCGGUGGAUUCUGGGAGCAGUGCUCCGGUGUUUUGCUCGUCUGCUACAGAUUUAGCGUUAGCAUGAGCGCUAUAUAUCGGUUUUUGUCCUGCUGCCGUGAUGUAAACUGUUCUAAUAUGAUCUCUGGGAGUCAUCUGGUGUCUUUUCUCUGGUCUGCUUCUGGUGGUGAGCGGAUUUAUAAUCCAAAAAUAAUCCAGCAUUUACAUUUAAAGGCAGUAAAAUUUGAAUUUUAACAUAUGAAGAUGACUCCUGCAGAUGUGUGAUUCAAUAAAAAUCAUGUUUAACAUAU